GUUGGUUCAUUUAUAUACUAUAGGGUUAAGUGUGGGGUCCAUUUUACUGAACUAGUGUACAUUAUUGUUUAGGGGCCAACUGAAGCGUGCCUCAGAAUGCGAGGUGAACUUGCAGCAUUGAAGACCCAUUUGUGGCCUUGGGCUGCUCUCUUAAACUAAAAAAAAAAAUAUUACAUGUUAAAGUAUGCUUUCUUGUAAUGUUGAUCAAUAUGACCAUGAUUACACCACA
Molecule: long non-coding RNA, 229 nt
Filed under: Mytilus galloprovincialis (Mediterranean mussel)
Lineage: Eukaryota; Metazoa; Mollusca; Bivalvia; Mytilida; Mytilidae
Source: RNAcentral